GAAUUUCCAGAAGACCUUUUUGAAGCUGUCAUUGCCAGACUUCCUAUUGCUACAUUUUUCCGCUUUCGCACUGUGUGUCGAAAAUGGAAUGCUUUGCUGGACUCUCAGAGCUUUUCUCAGCAUUGUGCCCAAGUUCCACAAGCUAAUCCCUGGUUUUACACCAUAACUCAUGAAAAUGUGAAUUCUGGAGCCAUGUAUGAUCCUUCCUUGAAGAAAUGGCAUCACCCCACAAU
RNAcentral lists this unclassified non-coding RNA (233 nucleotides) under Hevea brasiliensis (rubber tree). Lineage: Eukaryota; Viridiplantae; Streptophyta; Magnoliopsida; Malpighiales; Euphorbiaceae. The record is from RNAcentral.